RNAcentral lists this ribosomal RNA (496 nucleotides) under uncultured bacterium. RNAcentral describes it as "partial 16S ribosomal RNA". It matches the Rfam family "Bacterial small subunit ribosomal RNA", at positions 28 to 506 of the family's 1533-position model. The record is from RNAcentral.
GAUGAACGCUGGCGGCGUGCCUAAUACAUGCAAGUCGAGCGAACAGACGAGGAGCUUGCUCCUCUGACGUUAGCGGCGGACGGGUGAGUAACACGUGGAUAACCUACCUAUAAGACUGGGAUAACUUCGGGAAACCGGAGCUAAUACCGGAUAAUAUAUUGAACCGCAUGGUUCAAUAGUGAAAGACGGUUUUGCUGUCACUUAUAGAUGGAUCCGCGCCGCAUUAGCUAGUUGGUAAGGUAACGGCUUACCAAGGCAACGAUGCGUAGCCGACCUGAGAGGGUGAUCGGCCACACUGGAACUGAGACACGGUCCAGACUCCUACGGGAGGCAGCAGUGGGGAAUCUUCCGCAAUGGGCGAAAGCCUGACGGAGCAACGCCGCGGGAGUGAUGAAGGUCUUCGGAUCGUAAAACUCUGUUAUUAGGGAAGAACAAAUGUGUAAGUAACUAUGCACGUCUUGACGGUACCUAAUCAGAAAGCCACGGCUAACUACGU